CCUACGGGUGGCUGCAGUGAGGAAUAUUGGUCAAUGGGCGGAAGCCUGAACCAGCCAAGUAGCGUGCGGGAUGAAGGCCCUACGGGUCGUAAACCGCUUUUGCACGGGGAUAACACCCUCCACUUGUGGAGGUCUGCAGGUACCGUGCGAAUAAGGGCCGGCUAAUUCCGUGCCAGGAGCCGCGGUAAUACGGAGGGCCCGAGCGUUAUCCGGAUUCAUUGGGCUUAAAGGGAGCGUAGGCGGGCGUUCAAGUCCUCUGUAAAAUCGCGCGGCUCAACCGCGCCCGGCAGUUGAAACUGGACGUCUUGAGUUCACAACAGGCAGGCGGAAUUCGUGGUGUAGCGGUGAAAUGCGUAGAUAUCAGGAGGAAUACCGUUAGCGAAGGCGGCAAUCUGGCUUGAAACUGACGCUGAGGUGCGAAAGCGUGGGUAGCAAACAGGAUUAGAUACCCCGGUAGUC
RNAcentral lists this ribosomal RNA (459 nucleotides) under uncultured bacterium. RNAcentral's name for it is "partial 16S ribosomal RNA". It matches the Rfam family "Bacterial small subunit ribosomal RNA", at positions 338 to 795 of the family's 1533-position model. The record is from RNAcentral.